ACGCUGGCGGUGUGCUUCACACAUGCAAGUCGAACGAGGUAGCAAUACCUAGUGGCGGACGGGUGAGUAACGCGUGGGAAUCUGCCUUUAGAUGGGGGAUAACGGGUCGAAAGACUCGCUAAUACCGCAUAUGACGAAAGUUGAAAGGAGUAAUCCGUCUAAAGAUGAGCCCGCGUCCGAUUAGCUAGUUGGUAGGGUAAAAGCCUACCAAGGCGACGAUCGGUAGCUGGUCUGAGAGGAUGAUCAGCCACAAUGGGACUGAGACACGGCCCAUACUCCUACGGGAGGCAGCAGUGGGGAAUUUUACGCAAUGGGCGAAAGCCUGACGUAGCGACACCGCGUGAGCGAAGAAGCCCUUUGGGGUGUAAAGCUCUGUCAGCUGGAACGAAAAAAUGACGGUACCAGCAGAGGAAGCAUCGGCUAACUACGUG
This 431-nucleotide ribosomal RNA is filed under the name uncultured bacterium. Its description in RNAcentral is "bacterial SSU rRNA". It matches the Rfam family "Bacterial small subunit ribosomal RNA", at positions 33 to 507 of the family's 1533-position model. The record is from RNAcentral.